AUUGAUCGCUGGCGGCAGGCCUAACACAUGCAAGUCGAGCGGAUGAAGGGAGCUUGCUCCUGGAUUCAGCGGCGGACGGGUGAGUAAUGCCUAGGAAUCUGCCUGGUAGUGGGGGAUAACGUCCGGAAACGGGCGCUAAUACCGCAUACGUCCUGAGGGAGAAAGUGGGGGAUCUUCGGACCUCACGCUAUCAGAUGAGCCUAGGUCGGAUUAGCUAGUUGGUGGGGUAAAGGCCUACCAAGGCGACGAUCCGUAACUGGUCUGAGAGGAUGAUCAGUCACACUGGAACUGAGACACGGUCCAGACUCCUACGGGAGGCAGCAGUGGGGAAUAUUGGACAAUGGGCGAAAGCCUGAUCCAGCCAUGCCGCGUGUGUGAAGAAGGUCUUCGGAUUGUAAAGCACUUUAAGUUGGGAGGAAGGGCAGUAAGUUAAUACCUUGCUGUUUUGACGUUACCAACAGAAUAAGCACCGGCUAACUUCGUG
This 484-nucleotide ribosomal RNA is filed under the name uncultured bacterium. RNAcentral's name for it is "partial 16S ribosomal RNA". It matches the Rfam family "Bacterial small subunit ribosomal RNA", at positions 30 to 507 of the family's 1533-position model. The record is from RNAcentral.